GUGAGUCAUCGAAUCUUUGAACGCACAUUGCGCCCGGUGGUAUUCCGCCGGGCAUGCCUGUCCGAGCGCUCUCUAUCAACCCUCACGCUCAGCGUGGAAUUGGGGAUUGCAGUUCGCUGCAGCCUUUUAUCUCAUUAGCGAUUACCAGUUGGUUCUGAGCGUAGUACAUACCCCGCUAUAGAACUUCCUGGUCUUCUGCCGUAAAUGGUGUAAGCCGUGUCUAAGGUUGACCUCGGAUCAAGUAGGGAUACCCGCUGAACUUAAGCAUAUCAAUAAGCGGAGGA
This 284-nucleotide unclassified non-coding RNA is filed under the name Mollisia sp. RNAcentral's name for it is "partial contains 5.8S ribosomal RNA, internal transcribed spacer 2, and large subunit ribosomal RNA". The stretch from base 1 to 71 matches the Rfam family "5.8S ribosomal RNA", at positions 84 to 154 of the family's 154-position model. Lineage: Eukaryota; Fungi; Ascomycota; Leotiomycetes; Helotiales; Mollisiaceae. The record is from RNAcentral.